ACGCUCGACACCUACGGGGGCAGCAGUGGGGAAUAUUGCACAAUGGGGGAAACCCUGAUGCAGCGACGCCGCGUGAGUGAAGAAGUAUUUCGGUAUGUAAAGCUCUAUCAGCAGGGAAGAGAAUGACGGUACCUGACUAAGAAGCCCCGGCUAACUACGUGCCAGCAGCCGCGGUAAUCUGAGCGGGCUGGCAAGGC
Molecule: ribosomal RNA, 197 nt
Filed under: uncultured bacterium
Lineage: Bacteria
Description: partial 16S ribosomal RNA
Rfam family: Bacterial small subunit ribosomal RNA
Source: RNAcentral